RNAcentral lists this transfer RNA (65 nucleotides) under Dipodomys ordii (Ord's kangaroo rat). It matches the Rfam family "tRNA". Rfam says of the family: Transfer RNA (tRNA) molecules are approximately 80 nucleotides in length. Their secondary structure includes four short double-helical elements and three loops (D, anti-codon, and T loops). Further hydrogen bonds mediate the characteristic L-shaped molecular structure. tRNAs have two regions of fundamental functional importance: the anti-codon, which is responsible for specific mRNA codon recognition, and the 3' end, to which the tRNAs corresponding amino acid is attached (by aminoacyl-tRNA synthetases). tRNAs cope with the degeneracy of the genetic code in two manners: having more than one tRNA (with a specific anti-codon) for a particular amino acid; and 'wobble' base-pairing, i.e. permitting non-standard base-pairing at the 3rd anti-codon position. The record is from Rfam by way of RNAcentral. Lineage: Eukaryota; Metazoa; Chordata; Mammalia; Rodentia; Heteromyidae.
GGUGGCUCAGUGGUAGAGCCCCUGCCUUGCAUGCAUGAGGCCCUGGGUUCAAUUCCUCAGCACCA